AGAGUUUGAUCAUGGCUCAGAACGAACGUUGGCGGCGUGGAUUAGGCAUGCAAGUCGAGCGAAUCCCCCGCAAGGGGGGGAAGCGGCGUAAGGGGCAGUAGGGCGUGGGCAACCCACCCCGGGGACCGGGGUAGCCCGUCGAGAGACGGGGUAAUACCGGGCGACGCCGCCGCAGGGCAUCCUGCGGCGGCCAGAGGUCCGCCGCCCCGGGCGGGGCCCACGUGGUAUCAGCUAGUUGGUGGGGUGACGGCCCACCAAGGCGGAGACGCCUAGCGGGUGUGAGAGCACGACCCGCGCCACUGGCACUGAGACACUGGCCAGACACCUACGGGUGGCUGCAGUCGAGGAUCUUCGGCAAUGGGGGCAACCCUGACCGAGCGACGCCGCGUGGGCGACGAAGGCCUUCGGGUUGUAAAGCCCUGUCGAGGGGGAGGAAAGCCCGCGAGGGUGUGACCCAUCCCUGGAGGAAGCACGGGCUAAGUUCGUGCCAGCAGCCGCGGUAAGACGAACCGUGCGAACGUUGUUCGGAAUCACUGGGCUUAAAGGGCGCGUAGGCGGGCUGGCAAGUCCGGGGUGAAAUCCUCCCGCUCAACGGGAGAACGGCCUCGGAUACUGCCGGCCUCGAGGCGGGUAGGGGCGGGCGGAACUCUGGGUGGAGCGGUGAAAUGCGUUGAUAUCCAGAGGAACUCCGGUGGCGAAGGCGGCCCGCUGGACCCGGUCUGACGCUGAGGCGCGAAAGCCAGGGGAGCGAACGGGAUUAGAUACCCCUGUAGUCC
RNAcentral lists this ribosomal RNA (776 nucleotides) under uncultured Planctomycetaceae bacterium. RNAcentral describes it as "bacterial SSU rRNA". It matches the Rfam family "Bacterial small subunit ribosomal RNA", at positions 8 to 796 of the family's 1533-position model. Lineage: Bacteria; Pseudomonadati; Planctomycetota; Planctomycetia; Planctomycetales; Planctomycetaceae. The record is from RNAcentral.